Choloepus hoffmanni (Hoffmann's two-fingered sloth) is the source of this 79-nucleotide small nucleolar RNA. Its record names the gene SNORD115. It matches the Rfam family "Small nucleolar RNA SNORD115". From Rfam's summary of the family: HBII-52 is a member of the C/D class of snoRNAs, which contain the C (UGAUGA) and D (CUGA) box motifs. The record is from Ensembl. NCBI's taxonomy places the organism in Eukaryota, Metazoa, Chordata, Mammalia, Pilosa, Megalonychidae.
UGGUCAAUGAAGAGUACUGAUCUUGUUGAAAACAGUUGAUGACAUAAAAAUCAUACUCAAUAGGAUUAUGCUGAAGCCC